GAUGAAGAACGCAGCGAAAUGCGAUAAGUAAUGUGAAUUGCAGAAUUCAGUGAAUCAUCGAAUCUUUGAACGCACAUUGCGCCCCUUGGUAUUCCAUGGAGCAUGCCUGUUCGAGCGUCAUUUGUACCUUCAAGCUCUGCUUGGUGUUGGGUGUUUGUCUCGCCUCUGCGUGUAGACUCGCCUCAAAACAAUUGGCAGCCGGCGUAUUGAUUUCGGAGCGCAGUACAUCUCGCGCUUUGCACUCAUAACGACGACGUCCAAAAGUACAUUUUUACACUCUUGACCUCGUAUCAGGUAGGGAUACCCGCUGAACUUAAGCAUAUCAAUAAGCGGAGGA
Molecule: unclassified non-coding RNA, 337 nt
Filed under: soil metagenome
Description: partial contains 5.8S ribosomal RNA, internal transcribed spacer 2, and large subunit ribosomal RNA
Rfam family: 5.8S ribosomal RNA (bases 1-120)
Source: RNAcentral